UAGAGUUUGAUCAUGGCUCAGGAUGAACGCUGGCGGCGUGCCUAAUACAUGCAAGUCGAACGAGGUGCUUUUGUAGCAAUACGGAAGUAUCCUAGUGGCGAACGGGUGAGUAACGCGUUGGUGACCUGCCCCAAAGUGUGGGAUAACGGUCCGAAAGGGCUGCUAAUACCGCAUGUGGUCAUCGGAAUUAGAAUCCGAUGUCUAAAGGAGUAAUCCGCUUUGGGAGGGGCCUGCGUCCCAUCAGCUAGUUGGUAGGGUAACGGCCUACCAAGGCGACGACGGGUAGGGGGCCUGAGAGGGUGGCCCCCCACAAUGGAACUGAAACACGGUCCAUACACCUACGGGUGGCAGCAGUAGGGAAUAUUGGUCAAUGGGCGAAAGCCUGAACCAGCAACGCCGCGUGUGCGAAGAAGGCCCUCGGGUCGUAAAGCACUUUUCUGGGAGAUGAGAAAGGACAGUAUCCCAGGAAUAAGUCUCGGCUAACUACGUGCCAGCAGCCGCGGUAAUA
This 508-nucleotide ribosomal RNA is filed under the name uncultured bacterium. RNAcentral describes it as "bacterial SSU rRNA". It matches the Rfam family "Bacterial small subunit ribosomal RNA", at positions 1 to 525 of the family's 1533-position model. The record is from RNAcentral.